Molecule: transfer RNA, 79 nt
Filed under: Armatimonadota bacterium
Lineage: Bacteria; Bacillati; Armatimonadota
Description: Armatimonadetes bacterium (hot springs metagenome) tRNA-His
Rfam family: tRNA
About the family: Transfer RNA (tRNA) molecules are approximately 80 nucleotides in length. Their secondary structure includes four short double-helical elements and three loops (D, anti-codon, and T loops).
Source: RNAcentral
GUGGCUGUAGCUUAGUCCGGUCAAGAGCGCCAGGUUGUGGCCCUGGAGGCCGCGGGUUCGAAUCCCGCCAGCCACCCUA